AGUGAACGCUGGCGGUAGGCCUAACACAUGCAAGUCGAACGGCAGCACAGUAAGAGCUUGCUCUUACGGGUGGCGAGUGGCGGACGGGUGAGGAAUACAUCGGAAUCUACUUUUUCGUGGGGGAUAACGUAGGGAAACUUACGCUAAUACCGCAUACGACCUACGGGUGAAAGCAGGGGAUCUUCGGACCUUGCGCGAUUGAAUGCGCCGAUGUCGGAUUAGCUAGUUGGCGGGGUAAAGGCCCACCAAGGCGACGAUCCGUAGCUGGUCUGAGAGGAUGAUCAGCCACACUGGAACUGAGACACGGUCCAGACUCCUACGGGAGGCAGCAGUGGGGAAUAUUGGACAAAGGGCGCAAGCCUGAUCCAGCCAUACCGCGUGGGUGAAGAAGGCCUUCGGGUUGUAAAGCCCUUUUGUUGGGAAAGAAAAGCAGCAGGUUAAUACCCCGCUGUUCUGACGGUACCCAAAGAAUAAGCACCGGCUAACUUCGUG
Molecule: ribosomal RNA, 492 nt
Filed under: uncultured bacterium
Lineage: Bacteria
Description: partial 16S ribosomal RNA
Rfam family: Bacterial small subunit ribosomal RNA
Source: RNAcentral